This 662-nucleotide ribosomal RNA is filed under the name uncultured Methylobacter sp. RNAcentral's name for it is "bacterial SSU rRNA". It matches the Rfam family "Bacterial small subunit ribosomal RNA", at positions 9 to 669 of the family's 1533-position model. The record is from RNAcentral. Lineage: Bacteria; Pseudomonadati; Pseudomonadota; Gammaproteobacteria; Methylococcales; Methylococcaceae.
GAGUUUGAUCAUGGCUCAGAUUGAACGCUGGCGGUAUGCUUAACACAUGCAAGUCGAACGGUAACAGGCCUUCGGGCGCUGACGAGUGGCGGACGGGUGAGUAACGCGUAGGAAUCUGCCUUAUAGUGGGGGACAACGUGGGGAAACCCACGCUAAUACCGCAUACGCCCUACGGGGGAAAGCGGGGGCUCGUAAGACCUCGCGCUAUGAGAUGAGCCUGCGUUAGAUUAGCUAGUUGGUAGGGUAAAGGCCUACCAAGGCGACGAUCUAUAGCUGGUCUGAGAGGACGAUCAGCCACACUGGGACUGAGACACGGCCCAGACUCCUACGGGAGGCAGCAGUGGGGAAUAUUGGACAAUGGGCGCAAGCCUGAUCCAGCAAUACCGCGUGUGUGAAGAAGGCCCUAGGGUUGUAAAGCACUUUCAAUGGGGAGGAAAACCUGCCGGUCAAUACCCGGUAGCUUGACAUUACCUAUAGAAGAAGCACCGGCUAACUCCGUGCCAGCAGCCGCGGUAAUACGGAGGGUGCGAGCGUUAAUCGGAAUUACUGGGCGUAAAGCGUGCGUAGGCGGCUCGUUAAGUCAGAUGUGAAAGCCCUGGGCUCAACCUGGGAACGGCAUUUGAAACUGGCGAGCUAGAGUUGAGUAGAGGGGAGUGGAAUUU